Oreochromis aureus is the source of this 4314-nucleotide long non-coding RNA. Lineage: Eukaryota; Metazoa; Chordata; Actinopteri; Cichliformes; Cichlidae. The record is from Ensembl.
UUUCUUUUCGGACUGCACGUCCAUCAUAGACUUCACACUCUGACAUGGUGUAACUUACAAGCACUCAGCACAGCUUAUUUUUAACUUUAGUAAUAUGAACUUCCUCUAUUUGCUUCUGCAUUGAGUAUCAGCCCACUGUUUAAAACUAAUGCUGUAAAAGGUUUUUUAAAGAGAACAACCACAGCAACUCUGCACACACUGAAGUUCAUAUUUACCAAAGAAGGUGUCAGGUCCGACGGUGCCCCGACCGGCGACCUGUGUGUAUGUGUGUGUUUGUUCUCUCGCUCUGUUUUUGUCUCCGGCUCCGCUGCAGUUGUUACGCGGUUGCGUAGCAACGGGAGAUCUCCGACCCGGAAGUGCUGCCACUCUGAGCUGUCCCACCUGCGACUGAUUCCUCGCCAGCUGCUGCCAAUCUUCCACCAUCGUUGGCAGAGCUAUUUAAUGGUGUGGCUGAGUGACAGACAGCGCUGGAGUAUUCCACCAAGCCUGGAAACGAGCGAGACGGAAAGACGAGAGGAGAGACGUCACUAUUCACGAGAGUUGUGUGGACACAUGAGGGGAGCACUGAAGGGACUUUGCACUGUGGAUAACUGUGGAUUGGCUUCACUGUAAAUAAAGACACUGUUCAACUUUAACGAGAGGUCCGCGUCUGGGUUCUCUUACUCACCACCCCGUAACAGAAGAUUUAAAUGUAAAUGUAAAGAUUUGCAUGAAUGAGCAGGAAGCCCUGCAGCAGACUCACAGACGGAUGCAGAGGGGAGGAGUGUGGAGGUGUGUGCUGUGUGUUUGGAGGAGGGACUCCUUCAGUUAGAGAAGUGAGGCGUCACAAGUUCCUGGUUUCCAGUGAAGAAGAAGAGAGGCAGCAGUAAACCAUCAGAGCCUCAUCAUGAAAGUCCAUCACACUCUGAUCUGCUUCUUCUUCCUUUCAGCUCUGCAGGAUGGAAACGCUGAAGUCAUAUUCAACAACAACAUUUCCUUUGGAGUCGUUGGAGGAAAUCUAACAGCUGGAUUCUCCUUUCCUGCUGGAACAUGGAAAAUGUUGUGCAGAGGAGAAUGUAAAGGAGGAAACAUUCUUAUUAAUACAACAGAUGAGAAGCAUCAAAGUCACAGAUACAGCACUGAAUAUACAAUUGUACAAUAUGCUCCUACUUUGUCUGUGAGCAUCACACAGCUGAUCAUGUCUGAUGCUGGACAGUACAGCUGUGGUGUGGGUGAAUCUCCAUCAUCAGUUUCAUACAGACAGUUUGAAGUUGUUGUUGCUGAAGCACUGCUGGAUGGAAACGAUCCUGCUCAGCUGAAACACUUCAAUAAAGAAACUGGAAGCUCUCUCACAGUCGGAUGUUCCUUUAAUCCGUCUGGAGGACAAAAGUUCUUCUGCAGGGGAGAAUGUGGAGAGGACGAGGUUCUUCUUCAAACAGAUGAUGAAGAUGCUUCCAAAGACAGAUACAGAAUUGGAUUUAGAGGAACUUCAGAGGAGACAUAUGGAGGAGGAGGAAUUGUGUAUGUGACAAUCACACAGCUGACUGAGUCUGACUCAGGACAGUACAGAUGUUCUCUGAAUCCAUCUUCUGGUCAAGCUUCAUUCAGACUCUUUGAGAUCAACGUCACAGAUGCAGUCGUCCAAUCAGCCUUCUCACCUUCACUCACCUCGAGUGUAACCACGGAGCAGCCUGAGAAAACACCUGAAGGUGUUUCGCUGCCUGUGGGUCUGACUGUGGCUGUCAUCAUCAUCAUCAUCAUCAUCAUCGUCCUCUCAUCACUGGCUGUUCUAAUAAUCUGCAUUAAGAGGAAGAGCAACAGAGGUAAGACAACAAAGAUACAGCAACAACAGAAUUUUCCAUUUAUGAUCAAAAUCUGAAACUAACUUUAUGUCACUUGUCAAAGCUGCAGUGAAACAAAAAUAUUUUCUCUGACUUUUUCUUUGUGACUCGUCUGCACGCUUUGGUUUGAGGACACGGAUAGAUGUUAGGCUCAAAACCUGAGGUAACCAAACACACAUGCAGCGUGGGUGAUUUCAGGAGGAUCAGACUGAGUCUCUGUUUCAGUUCUUACUGCUCAGUACUCUGAUUGGUUUAGUGAGAGGUGGAGCAUUCAGGAGGAAGGACACGAUUCACUGCUUUGUUAAUUCAUUGAUUUAAGUGCAAAAAAAUAUUAACAGACUGCCCUUCAUUUACGUGCUGCAGCACAGUUUUAACUGGUAAAAGAACAUUUGAGUAUAUUACUCUGGUUCUGAUGUCCUUACACUGGCUUCCAGUUGAAUUUAGGAUCUAAUUUAAAAUCCUUUUACUGGUUUUUAAAUCCUUAACUGGUCUGGCGCCUGUAUAUUUGUCAGAUCUGCUCCUUCUCUCCCCAAUCACUCCGGUCAGUUGCUCAGCUGUUGCUCUCAGUCCCUAAAUAACGGCUGAGAGGAGACCGAGCGUUCUCCAUCGUGGCCCCGAAGCUUUGAACUGCAAUCUGCUUCAGUGUUGGCCUUUAAAUCCAGGUUAAAAACUCAUUUCUAUUAACAGGCUUUUGACUCAGUGCGUAACUGACUCUGUUAUUUUAUUGAUACUUAUUGUUACGGUAACUGGAGGGACUCAAACGCAGGACUCCUUUGCUCAAAGGAAGAACAGAGGCUUUAUUCACUAACACCAGGUGAAAUGUGCCACAGUGACAAAGUGCUAUACAAGAGUGCAGGGAUCAGGGAUCAGGGCUCCAGGGAAUCUGCAGGGGAACACUCUCACUCCCCUUCUGUCUCUCUUGGCAUCUCACCAAUCUCUCACUCCUCUCUCACACCAGAAUCUCCGUAAGGAACAAGGGCAGGUCUGUACACAAGGGAACUAGAUUAGCAGUGUCCUAGACAGGAUUUCACUGACACAAGUCAAGCAACAAUCCAGUGAAGAGCAGUCUCACUUAAGUAGAGGCCAGUUAAUGAGACGCAGGUGUUACUCGUCUCCCAGGUAUGUAGGCCAAAGGUGGGAGCCCACAGUGAACUCUGCCCAGGUGACAGAGGGAGAGAAAGGAAAGAGAGAAACACAAUAGCAGAAUAUUUCUCAGGCAGAUCUGCUGCACUGAUGUACAGCACUUUGGUCGACCAUGUGUUGUUUUUACUGUGCUAUAUAAAUGAAUUAUGUUAUGGUCCAAUGAUGUUAAGAAACAUGUUAGAAAGCACAAAAAAUACAAAAAUGAAAAAUCCCUUUAAGAAUGCAUCAUGUAUUCGUCUUUUCCUAUAGAAGAAGAGACCGUGCACAGUUUUCAUGAGUUUAAAAUAAGAUAUUGACUCAGGAAUUAGUAAAGCAGAGAGGUGAAGAAGAAAGAGGUCAACAUGAUUAGUACAUAUCUGGGAAACUUCAAGGUCAAAGAAACAUCACAGAGAAAACAGGAAGACAAACAGGAUCUGACAUUCAGCUCAUUCAGUUAAACACAGGCGUUCACCACAGACGACUCUGGUUAUGGCUGCUUGUAUCUAUGAGCUGACUGCUCACUGUGACCUCAGUAAACACUUUCCUGCUGCAGCCAACAAGCUGAACUGAGGCUUUUAUAACAGGAGUGCACAAAGCAACAGCUGACAUUACAGCAGAUAAUUCCAUCUUUAAUAUACAGGCUAUGCUUUUUACCACUGAGCUGACAGAGUGAAAACUGACUGAUUCAGGCUUGUGUGUUAUCAAGUACAUGUCAUGUGAUUCUGCACUGAGGCAGGUUCUGGCUCCAAUAUUCAGGAGUCAGGAUGUGAAAUCACUUCAGCUUCAUUGCUGGAAACUUGCAGAAAAGAACAAAAUAUAAACGGAGCAAAGUCAGAGAGGAAAAUGGAAACACAGAGCAGAGGAGCAGACAGUGGGAGAAACAAUAAAUAAACAGAUAUAUAAAAAUCCAGAUAUCAGACUGCUCAUAACCAAAGUGAAUAAUUCUGAAUGAUCUCUCGUGUUUCUUCCUCAGGUGCACUUUGAAUGGUUGGUCCUUCUAACAGAGGAACAUCCUGUUUGUUCCACAGGUUUGAGGACCAGAGGAAACUCAGAGGGCACAAACAUGGAGGUGACUUUCUUUCUCUUUGUUUCCUCUCACUGCUGACAGACUGCUACCGUAACAAAGAAAUAAAGCAGUCACAGUGUGAUGGUUCAGUUUGUAGACUGUUCCAGAAAUUACAAUCCAAGAAGGUGAAUUCAAACAGGUAGGUGACAAAAAUGGCCGCCCAGACGGAGACUCCAACAACAAACAGAGACACUGUUGUCUGAGAGGUUCAACGAGGCAACAUGGAAAUAUUUACCAGCACAAAUGAUUUCACCAAGUCAGAGUCUGUUCUUGUUAUGUGAAGAAGACAGUUUGUCUCUGUUUUAG